CAAUAGCGUAUAUUAAAGUUGUUGCAGUUAAAAAGCUCGUAGUUGGAUUUCGGGGCAGCCUGGCUGGUCCGCCGCAAGGCGAGUACUGGUCAGCCGCCCUUCCUCUCGAAAGCCCCGACUGCUCUUCGUUGCAGUGGCCGGGUAGUUCGGGACGUUUACUUUGAAAAAAUUAGAGUGUUCAAGGCAGGCCUACGCCUGAAUACAUUAGCAUGGAAUAAUGGAAGAGGACCUCGGUCCUAUUUUGUUGGUUUCCAGGGCCGAAGUAAUGAUUAAGAGGGACAGUUGGGGGCAUUCGUAUUUAAUUGUCAGAGGUGAAAUUCUCGGAUUAUGAAAGACGAACAACUGCGAAAGCAUUUGCCAAGGAUGUUUUCAUUAA
RNAcentral lists this ribosomal RNA (376 nucleotides) under uncultured eukaryote. RNAcentral describes it as "partial 18S ribosomal RNA". It matches the Rfam family "Eukaryotic small subunit ribosomal RNA", at positions 592 to 976 of the family's 1831-position model. The record is from RNAcentral.